UUUUUUUUUGAAUACCAGAAGGUUUUGGGCCGAAACCCGUAAUCCCUUUAGGUGACGAGAAGUUAUAUACGAUAAAAAAAGUGUCUUGCUGGUGUUAUUUUUAGAAGAUCAGGGAGGGGUUGGUCACGACAACAUUCAAAAUUUUAAUGACAAAAUAUGAGUAUGACUUGUUAAAACGGUAUACUCACAUCCGUUCAGUUCAAUUUCGCUUGCGUUCUUGUAAUAUAGUA
RNAcentral lists this small RNA (230 nucleotides) under Arabidopsis thaliana (thale cress). RNAcentral describes it as "ATSL048930". The record is from RNAcentral. Lineage: Eukaryota; Viridiplantae; Streptophyta; Magnoliopsida; Brassicales; Brassicaceae.